Molecule: non-coding RNA, 73 nt
Organism: Ailuropoda melanoleuca (giant panda)
Lineage: Eukaryota; Metazoa; Chordata; Mammalia; Carnivora; Ursidae
Source: Rfam
ACCUGACUGGCUCAGUUGGAAGAGUAUGUGAUUCUUGAUCUCAGGGUCAUGAGUUCGAACCCCAUGUUGGGUG